GGAGGGUGCAAACGUUGCUCGGAUUUACUGGGCGUAAAGCGCAUGCAGGGCGGUCUGCAAAGUUUCGUGUGAAAGCCCUGGGCUCAACCCAGGAAGUGCACGGAAAACUCGCAGACUAGAGUACUGGAGAAGUGGGCGGAAUUCCCGGUGUAGAGGUGAAAUUCGUAGAUAUCGGGAGGAACACCAGCAGCGAAGGCGGCUCACUUGACAGAUACUGACGCUCAGAUGCGAAAGCGUGGGGAGCAAACAGGAUUAGAUACCCUGGUAGUCCACGCCGUAAACGAUGGGCACUAGGUGUCGGGGGCUUGACCCCUUCGGCGCCGCCGCUAACGCAUUAAGUGCCCCGCCUGGGGACUACGGUCGCAAGACUA
This 371-nucleotide ribosomal RNA is filed under the name uncultured organism. RNAcentral describes it as "partial 16S ribosomal RNA". It matches the Rfam family "Bacterial small subunit ribosomal RNA", at positions 527 to 896 of the family's 1533-position model. The record is from RNAcentral.